GUCUGAAGCUCUGGGAACGGGGGCAGAAAGCUGUAUUUCGAAAAGCUUCCCACAUGAUUUUGAUGCAAAGCGUCCCCAGCCUCCAGCCAGCUUCGCUAGCCAGGGACACAAUUGGAUUGCAAUUUCUAGCACUUCCUGGAGAUCAGGUCCCUGAAGAGCUAUAAAAAUCCAGCGGUGUUUCUGGCCACCUUUCCAUGUGGUUUGUAGUGCACUGUCAGUCACACACGCCUGCAGAGCAUGUGUGUGUUUGUGUUUGCACACGUGUGUGCAUGUGUGUGAGUGGGUGCAUGCAUGCAUGUGUAUUUGGCUUUAAGGGAGGCUCUCAUAUUGCAUUACCUAUGUUGCUAGUUUCUGGCUGCCAGUUUGCAUUUCUUAGGCGGAUUUUCUGAUUCCAGGCUCGGGAGGGCUCCCCUGCACUGUAUGUAAUUGGGCACGAAGCCCGUGGUGGGGUGGAUUUGGGUAAUGGCAGGGCUGCAUUCCUCCCAUUCUUUUCUCACAGGAAAAAGUGCCUGGAUAUAACCCUGUGGUGGGGAUUGCUUACAGGAGGGGCCGGCUGCCUGCC
Long non-coding RNA from Homo sapiens (human), 562 nucleotides. Ensembl annotates it as TSPAN9 intronic transcript 1. Its record names the gene TSPAN9-IT1. The record is from Ensembl. Lineage: Eukaryota; Metazoa; Chordata; Mammalia; Primates; Hominidae.